UCUCUUCACUAAGCACGAGAUUUCAUUUGAGGUGAUAGUCGCUUAGGCACUGAAGAAACUCGAUUGUCAACAAAAUCACUCCCUGAAAAACAUGCAUAUCAGCUGUUGUCAGACGAGAUCUGUAUCGAUGAUGAUACUUUAGCAACUGGAGAGCUUCUCUCUCAAGCCGAUGGCCCGUUGGACCGAUUUCAAUGUGCAUAGGCAUUAUAUCAGCUCCUUUCAGCAUGCCUGCGGCCAAAGUUUCUCCAGCAAACAAUAACUACAGCAGCCAGUGUCGAGAUUCGAGAAGUUCGAAGGACAGUUCAAGUUCUGAUAGUCAAUCACUACAGG
Argiope bruennichi is the source of this 330-nucleotide long non-coding RNA. RefSeq lists it as uncharacterized. Lineage: Eukaryota; Metazoa; Arthropoda; Arachnida; Araneae; Araneidae. The record is from RefSeq and is a predicted model, not a curated record. The transcript has 2 exons.